UAGAGUGUACAAUUCCUUCUAUCAUCAUGUGCCGAGAAACCACCUUCAACACCUACUUGAUUGCGCCUGAUCAAAUGAACAGCCAUCGGAGGAAAGCCAAGUACCACUGGAACAAGACAACAUUUAACCCGUUCAGCUUCUAGCUAACUCCAGCAUCACUGAUCAGCAACUACGUACACCUGACUCAGAUGAAGGGCAAAGGGGCGUUGACCAACAUAGAGCUGUCACAGUGCAACAAGAUCUGACAACGCAUGCCACUGCUUUUGUGAUAAAUGCCAGAGCCGAGCAUAGUCUCUCACAGAAAGGCAUCUAUGACAUUGUUGCUGGGGUACAGCAGUAUCAAUCAUCACUAUUGGACAACCUCAGGAAGCAGAUGGAGGCAGUGGUAAAGAAGCAUUCAGGAAGCACAUCAGGUGAACUUGAAAAAGAUGCAAUGCAUAUAUUUGACAAUUUCAUUGACCCUUUUUACUUAGACAGGACAGUGUUAUUAAGAAGCUGUUUGGAUGCAGAGGAAAUUCCAAUUUGCUCGAACCAUAUGCAGGAUCAAAAGACAUUUUCAUCAAAGACAAAUUAUUUUAUUAUGUACCAUUAGUCAAAAGUCUAGAACAGUUCUUAUCACACCCAAGGAUUUUGUCUGUGGUUGAAAAGGGACCCCAGAUGUGCAGGGAAAGAUUUUUUCAUGACAUUGUUGAUGGUGCUCAUCUAAAAUCACAUCCCUUAUUUUCAAGAGAAACCAAAGGCAUUGCAGAUUGUUCUGUACACGGAUGAAAUAGAAAUCUGUAAUCCACUAGGAUCCUUUGCAUCAAAAAAUGCAAAUGGUGUAAUACACCCUAGGAAAUAUAAAUCCAAAAUACAGGUCUAAACUGGCUGCUAUCAGGCUACUUGCCAUGGCUGGAUCAG
Molecule: long non-coding RNA, 900 nt
Organism: Oncorhynchus masou masou (cherry salmon)
Lineage: Eukaryota; Metazoa; Chordata; Actinopteri; Salmoniformes; Salmonidae
Exons: 4
Source: RefSeq, a predicted model, not a curated record